RNAcentral lists this ribosomal RNA (277 nucleotides) under uncultured bacterium. RNAcentral's name for it is "partial 16S ribosomal RNA". It matches the Rfam family "Bacterial small subunit ribosomal RNA", at positions 76 to 353 of the family's 1533-position model. The record is from RNAcentral.
UCAAACUGGAGAUGGCGACCGGCGCACGGGUGAGUAACACGUAUCCAACCUGCCGAUAACUCGGGGAUAGCCUUUCGAAAGAAAGAUUAAUACCCGAUGGCAUAAUAGAACCGCAUGGUUUGAUUAUUAAAGAAUUUCGGUCAUCGAUGGGGAUGCGUUCCAUUAGGUUGUUGGCGGGGUAACGGCCCACCAAGCCUUCGAUGGAUAGGGGUUCUGAGAGGAAGGUCCCCCACAUUGGAACUGAGACACGGUCCAAACUCCUACGGGAGGCAGCAUG